This 421-nucleotide long non-coding RNA is filed under the name Homo sapiens (human). RNAcentral describes it as "HSALNT0157125". The record is from RNAcentral. Lineage: Eukaryota; Metazoa; Chordata; Mammalia; Primates; Hominidae.
CCCGAGGGACCGCCCUGCCCUAAGGGGAAAGCGUUGCGCCUGUGGUCAUGGCCGGGAGACCGGGUCAGUCUCCUCCUCAGAGCCCUCAGCCCUCCCCCAGCCCACUCCCCGAAACAGCCAGGAGUCCAGGGUGCCAGGGUGCAGCGGCCGAGGCCCUGCACGGAGCCCGGUGCCCUUCUCGUGCCCCCUCGCGUUCCGGGGCCGCCUGUUCCUGCGCAUCCCAAACGCCAGCGCUGCCCACCCCCGCUCAGUCCCAAGCACCCCGCAGAAGCAGGCAGGUGCCCACGGUUACUGAAGGCUCGGUGACAGCAGUGAUUUAAAGGAGAGGGAACUGCGCGCUGUGGGAGGGUCUCCACGCCCCUGACUGGCAAAAUAUCCCCCUUGGAGGAGACUGGGCAAAGCGCAUGAGACCCCCCUCUCU